Long non-coding RNA from Ornithodoros turicata, 397 nucleotides. RefSeq lists it as uncharacterized. The record is from RefSeq and is a predicted model, not a curated record. NCBI's taxonomy places the organism in Eukaryota, Metazoa, Arthropoda, Arachnida, Ixodida, Argasidae. The transcript has 3 exons.
GCACCUGUGCUAACCCGCUUGCAGUUAUUGUGCCUCUUUUGAACUUCUGCGUACUUUUUCUACAACUUCUUUCUGCUCCUGCACUCAUUUGCAAAGGAAAGGAGUGCGUGAAACCUAGGACGUAUUUCAAAAGUUGCAGUUUCAUUCAUGGAUGAAGAGCCAGUUGUGUGCCUGGCAAGCCAUGGCGUCUCCACGAGAAAGAAUAGUAGUGUGCGGCGAGCGAAAGUUGAAUGAUGUGAUUGCGUCCCUGAGGGAAUCAGCUUUUGCUGGAUUGGUGACAGAUGCUCUGCAAGUUCAGGUAUUCGACACAGUUCAACAAGUACAUUGAUAUGGAUGAAACAACAGUGCUCCAGCAGCACUCUGAACUCAAAGCACCGUGCCAGCACAAACGGAGGGU